GAUGAACGCUGGCGGCGUGCCUAAUACAUGCAAGUCGAGCGAACGGACGAGAAGCUUGCUUCUCUGAUGUUAGCGGCGGACGGGUGAGUAACACGUGGAUAACCUACCUAUAAGACUGGGAUAACUUCGGGAAGCCGGAGCUAAUACCGGAUGAUAUUUUGAACCGCAUGGUUCAAAAGUGAAAGACGGUCUUGCUGUCACCUAUAGAUGGAUCCGCGCUGCAUUAGCUAGUUGGUAAGGUAACGGCUUACCAAGGCAACGAUGCAUAGCCGACCUGAGAGGGUGAUCGGCCACACUGGAACUGAGACACGGUCCAGACUCCUACGGGAGGCAGCAGUAGGGAAUCUUCCGCAAUGGGCGAAAGCCUGACGGAGCAACGCCGCGUGAGUGAUGAAGGUCUUCGGAUCGUAAAACUCUGAUAUUAGGGAAGAACAUAUGUGUAAGUAACUGUGCACAUCUUGACGGUACCUAAUCAGAAAGCCACGGCUAACUACGUG
RNAcentral lists this ribosomal RNA (497 nucleotides) under uncultured bacterium. Its description in RNAcentral is "partial 16S ribosomal RNA". It matches the Rfam family "Bacterial small subunit ribosomal RNA", at positions 28 to 507 of the family's 1533-position model. The record is from RNAcentral.